This 341-nucleotide long non-coding RNA is filed under the name Cavia porcellus (domestic guinea pig). RNAcentral's name for it is "lncRNA (ENSCPOG00000032163.1)". Lineage: Eukaryota; Metazoa; Chordata; Mammalia; Rodentia; Caviidae. The record is from RNAcentral.
CGGAGCCAGGCCGCUCGACGGCGGAGGCCGAGCGGCCCCCAGGGCUGCAGCGGCGGCCGAGGCAGGCGGGCGCAAGGUGAGGACGGCAAAGGGCCUCGCAGAGACCGAGCCGCUGGCCGUGGUGACACAGCCAGAGCGGGCAGAGCCAGGACGCGCAGCCAGCCAGGUGUGUGGAGCCCGGGAGCCUCGUGCUAAUCCCACCUCGCAGGGUACUGCUAGUGCAGGAGGAGGCUGAAAUGAGGGCGCCCCAGGGCAGCAAAUGCCUAACCUGGAAUUACUUAAAGUACCCUCUUCUUGGGGUGACUGAGAAAACCAACAGUGGUGGCUUGGGGCUGGGGGAA